GGGGAUGAAAAGCUUCGACGAAUUUAGCUCUUUAACACCGGCAAGCAGACUUUGAACUGUAGUCUUUAAACAAGGUUUAAAAAACAACUGCUAAUUCUUUAGUCAGUGACUUCGUUGAAGACGUUAAAGCAGGAGCGAAAGCUUUAGCUUUAACUUUAUUUGGCGAACCGGCUAGGCUUUUAGCCUAACCGGCAUCUUUUUUUGUCUAUGUCUGGGGAGACUUAAAAAGGUGGAAAUAAACUCAGGCGGCAAAUCCGACGUGAUUCAAUCGGAUCCAAGUUAAAGAAUCAAAAUUUUUGUCUGUUUAUUAAAACAGAAUAAGCUUGUAGAAGGUUUAAGGAAAUAUUUUCGGACGAGGGUUCAUAACCCUCCAUCUCCACAU
This 382-nucleotide transfer-messenger RNA is filed under the name Patescibacteria group bacterium. It matches the Rfam family "transfer-messenger RNA". Rfam says of the family: Bacterial tmRNA, also known as 10Sa RNA or SsrA, is named for its dual tRNA and mRNA-like properties. Its role is to liberate the mRNA from a stalled ribosome. The record is from RNAcentral.